CAGUAGGGAAUCUUCGGCAAUGGGGGGCAACCCUGACCGAGCAACGCCGCGUGAGUGAAGAAGGUUUUCGGAUCGUAAAGCUCUGUUGUAAGAGAAGAACGUGUGUGAGAGUGGAAAGUUCACACAGUGACGGUAACUUACCAGAAAGGGACGGCUAACUACGUGCCAG
Molecule: ribosomal RNA, 169 nt
Filed under: uncultured bacterium
Lineage: Bacteria
Description: partial 16S rRNA
Rfam family: Bacterial small subunit ribosomal RNA
Source: RNAcentral